GGCCUUGUGGUCUAGUGGUAUGAUUCUCACUUAGGGUGCGAGAGGUCCCGGAUUCGAUCUCCGGCAAGGCCC
RNAcentral lists this transfer RNA (72 nucleotides) under Phytophthora infestans (potato late blight agent). Its description in RNAcentral is "tRNA-Pro". It matches the Rfam family "tRNA". From Rfam's summary of the family: Transfer RNA (tRNA) molecules are approximately 80 nucleotides in length. Lineage: Eukaryota; Oomycota; Peronosporomycetes; Peronosporales; Peronosporaceae. The record is from RNAcentral.